AACGAACGCUGGCGGCAGGCCUCAAACAUGCAAGUCUAGGGGGUGCAGCAAUGCAUCACCGGCGGACGGGUGCGUAACGCGUGGGAAUAUACCUAUUGGUUCGGAACAACUGCGGGAAACUGCAGCUAAUACCGAAUGUGCCCUAACGGGGAAAGAUUUAUCGCCAAUGGAUUAGCCCGCGUAGGAUUAGCUAGUUGGUGGGGUAAUGGCUCACCAAGGCUCCGAUCCUUAGCUGUCUGAGAGGAAGAUCAGCCACACUGGGACUGAGACACGGCCCAGACUCCUACGGGAGGCAGCAGUUGGGAAUCUUGGACAAUGGGGGAAACCCUGAUCCAGCCAUGCCGCGUGAGUGAUGAAGGCCUU
Molecule: ribosomal RNA, 363 nt
Filed under: uncultured bacterium
Lineage: Bacteria
Description: bacterial SSU rRNA
Rfam family: Bacterial small subunit ribosomal RNA
Source: RNAcentral